UGGGGAAUUUUGGACAAUGGGCGAAAGCCUGAUCCAGCAAUGCCGCGUGUGUGAAGAAGGCCUUCGGGUUGUAAAGCACUUUUGUCCGGAAAGAAAUCCUUGGCUCUAAUACAGUCGGGGGAUGACGGUACCGGAAGAAUAAGCACCGGCUAACUACGUGCCAGCAGCCGCGGUAAUACGUAGGGUGCAAGCGUUAAUCGGAAUUACUGGGCGUAAAGCGUGCGCAGGCGGUUUGCUAAGACCGAUGUGAAAUCCCCGGGCUCAACCUGGGAACUGCAUUGGUGACUGGCAGGCUAGAGUAUGGCAGAGGGGGGUAGAAUUCCACGUGUAGCAGUGAAAUGCGUAGAGAUGUGGAGGAAUACCGAUGGCGAAGGCAGCCCCCUGGGCCAAUACUGACGCUCAUGCACGAAAGCGUGGGGAGCAAACAGGAUUAGAUACCCUGGUAGUCCACGCCCUAAACGAUGUCAACUAGUUGUUGGGGACUUCAUUUUCCUUAGUAACGUAGCAACGCGUGAAGUUGACCGCCUGGGGAGUACGGUCGCAAGAUUAAAACUUAAAUGAAUUGACGGGGUCAUA
Molecule: ribosomal RNA, 576 nt
Filed under: uncultured bacterium
Lineage: Bacteria
Description: partial 16S ribosomal RNA
Rfam family: Bacterial small subunit ribosomal RNA
Source: RNAcentral